GUGCUCCUUGCGAUAGGCGACGAUCGCCUCGGCCUUGGAGCGGCCGAUGUUGAGCAGCCCGGCAUCGAUGGUGGCGGCAUCGGCGGUGUU
Molecule: transfer RNA, 90 nt
Filed under: compost metagenome
Description: tRNA-Ser
Source: RNAcentral